AUUGAACGCUGGCGGCAUGCCUUACACAUGCAAGUCGAACCCGCGAAAGCGGGGGCAACUCCGCAAGUAGAGUGGCGAACGGGUGAGUAAUGCAUCGGAACGUGCCCAGUCGUGGGGGAUAACCAGUCGAAAGACUGGCUAAUACCGCAUGAGACCUGAGGGUGAAAGCAGGGGAUCCGCAAGGACCUUGCGCGACUGGAGCGGCCGAUGCCGGAUUAGCUAGUUGGUGGGGUAAAAGCCCACCAAGGCGACGAUCCGUAGCUGGUCUGAGAGGACGAUCAGCCACACUGGAACUGAGACACGGUCCAGACUCCUACGGGAGGCAGCAGUGGGGAAUUUUGGACAAUGGGCGCAAGCCUGAUCCAGCCAUGCCGCGUGAGUGAAGAAGGCC
This 391-nucleotide ribosomal RNA is filed under the name uncultured bacterium. Its description in RNAcentral is "bacterial SSU rRNA". It matches the Rfam family "Bacterial small subunit ribosomal RNA", at positions 29 to 416 of the family's 1533-position model. The record is from RNAcentral.